RNAcentral lists this ribosomal RNA (901 nucleotides) under Triticum aestivum (bread wheat). RNAcentral describes it as "partial small subunit ribosomal RNA". The record is from RNAcentral. Lineage: Eukaryota; Viridiplantae; Streptophyta; Magnoliopsida; Poales; Poaceae.
AGCGCGAGCGCUGCUGCUGCGGGGCCGGAACGGCUGCUCGACGGCGGACUCUCCAGCGGGACCGCGAGGGCCCCGAGGCGGCGGCCCGCGCCUGUGCGCCGCAAAGCCGGAGGAGUGGUGGGUGUCUGGGACGGCGCGGCAGCUUCGGCAUCGACUGCCGCGGCGCAAGAGGAGCCGCUCACGCCGGAGCCAUAGAUGAAGACGGAGGCCCCGGUCGGCACGGACUCGAAGGCGAGCGCGUGACAGGCGGCGACCUCGACGACCGCAGAGGUCGGAGAUGGCAGCGGCGCGGCCUCGUGCUCGUCGUGUCGUCGUCAAGGACGACGAUGUCGUUCCCCGGCGCCGCGCUCAACCGUCGCGUGCUCCGCGUUGGGAGCCGCCACCGGCCCGGACUUCAGCAGGCCACUGAGCCAUGGUCGCGCGCAGAAGGGCGCCGCUGAGCCGCGUGCUAGAUGGAGCGCUCGCACUGCUUGCAGGCUGUAAGUCGUCCGUGCCGUGGAUGCGAACAGAGGCUGCUGCCUCCGGUCUUGGACAUGAGACCGCAUCAUCGACAACAUCAUUCACCGUUUGAGUACCUGUGAAGAAAUCCACAGGAAGAGGUGUCGAGAGAGUCGCCGCGCCGGGGCUGUGGUCGCCUCGGGCUGGUGCAGGAGGUCGAGGCUGCGGGGUCACUCGGCGGCUGAAGACAUGCGCCGCCGCGCCGCUCUGCAGGGUGAGGCCUGCUCGCAUCAUACGGCGGAGGGCUUGUCCUGCCGCCAGUUGCCGAGGACGACGCUCCGUCGGAGAGCGUGCUGAUAACGUGUGAAGGAUCGAUUGUAAACGAACAAAAGAGUCGAACAAAUGAAUCGAUAAGAUACUUUUCCAUUGCCCCCUCAAAAAAAUAAUAUUUUUCCAUUGAUGA